CUGACUCUAAGCUGGUACUUCUACGUCAGGGAAGGUUUUAAGCAUUACAGGCAUCUCUGAUUAUGGGGGUUUUGCCAAGAGGAGAUAAUAGGGAAAAGAUGAAGAUGCUGGGCAACUUUCUGGCUCUUCUCAAGUCAGGGACAGAAGUAAAGCCACACACCUACAACCAACUGAUCUUCAACAAAGAUGAAAAAAAUAAACAAUGGAGAAAGGACACCCGAUUCAAAAAACGAUGCUGGGAAAACCAGGUAACCAUAUGCAGAAGAAUGAAACUGGAUCACUACCUCUCACCAUAUAAAAAUUAAUUCAAAAUGGAUUAAAGACUUAAAUGUAAGACCUCAAACUAUAAAAAUCCUAGAAGAAAACCUACGAAAUACUCUCCUGGGCAUUGGCCUAAGCAAAUAAUUUAUGACUGAGACCUCAAAAGCAAAUGCAACACAAACGAAAAUUGACUAUUGGAACCUAAUUAACUGAAGAGCUUCUGCACAGCAAAAGAAAAACAAAAACAAAACUAUCAACAGAGUAAACCUACAGAAUAGGAGAAAAUAUUUGUAAACUAUGCAUCUGACAGUGGACUAGUAUCCAGAAUCUGUAAGAAACUUUAACAAAUCAGCAAGAAAAAAAAACAAAUAGCCCCAUUAAAAAGUGGGCAAAGGACACAAACAGACAUUUCUCAAAAGAAGACGUAUAAGUGGCCAACAAACAUGAAAAAAUGCUCAGCAUUGUUAAUCAUCGGAGAAAUGCAAAUCAAAACAAGAUACUGUCUCAUACCAGUCAGAAUGGCUAUUAUUAAAAAGUCAAAAAAAUAACAGAUGUUGGCAAGGUUGCAGAGAAAGGGGAAUACUCUGUUGAUGAUAUUGUAAAUUAGUGCAGUGGUUUAUUCUAUCUUCUCUUGUACAUUGUGUCAUUUGUGAGAAGUUUUUAACUUUCCUUAAUCUUCCCUUCCACAGUUUCGUGCAGGAAAAUGAGCCAUUUCCUAAAAUCACCCCUUCAGCACCACACGUUUUAAAGUCUGUUUUCUAUGAUCUAGAGUGUAUAUACGAUUAUGCUUAAGUCUUCCUGACUGACAAACGUGAUGCCAAAACGUUU
This 1089-nucleotide long non-coding RNA is filed under the name Homo sapiens (human). RNAcentral describes it as "HSALNT0267437". The record is from RNAcentral. Lineage: Eukaryota; Metazoa; Chordata; Mammalia; Primates; Hominidae.